Molecule: RNA transcript, 1534 nt
Organism: Triticum urartu
Lineage: Eukaryota; Viridiplantae; Streptophyta; Magnoliopsida; Poales; Poaceae
Source: RefSeq, a predicted model, not a curated record
ACCCCACCCGCAGCGCAAACCCUAAAUCAGAUCCAAUCGCCCCCCUCCUCCAAUCGCACUCCUCCCUCGUCCCCAUCUCCACGCCACCGCCACCGCCGGACCCGUCCUCGCCUCCCGCCACCGCCCUUCUUCCUCGUAUUCUCCGGGCACCGACGCCGCCCCUGCCUCUCAGGAAUAUAGAGGAAGGCCCCCGCCGCCGCCACGCUCCUCCGUCACCGAGGCCAUGGAAGGGGCGGGAGGGCCCGUGGUCGCGGAUCUACGCCAGGACAUUGCGGCGGCGUGCGAGCGGCGGAUCACGCAGGACCGUGCCCACACCAUGGCCACCUAUGCCUUCUCCGACGCCGUCCUCUCCGCUCGCUCGCUCGCUCGCCGAGCACAGCGUCGCGCACCGAGGAACGCGCCUCCCCCGACGUCGUUCCUCUUCCGUUCAGCACUGAUGUUCCAAACCUAGGUGUACUCAUGUGCUUCUCAUGGAUAUGUCUUUCAAGUGUACAUCAAGAACCAAAAGACAAGGGCGUACUCCAAGCGUUUCCAAGUCCAUUUCAAGAGAAGGCGUUGGGGAAGACCGACUAUAGGGCCAGGCUGAGACCAACCAGGACAAGAACAAGUACAAUACCCCCAAGUACCGUUUUGUUGUGCGAAUUACCAACAAGGAUGUCACUGCCCAAAUUGUUUACGCUACAAUUGCUGGUGAUGUCAUGAUGGCCGCUGCCUACUCCCAUGAGUUGCCUUGCUAUGGUCUUGAAGUUGGCCUCACCAACUAUGCUCCAGCCUACUACAGCGGUCUGCUUUUGCGCCAUAGAAGGUCGUUCCCCUGCUCCCUCCUCUACCUUCCCCCAUCAUGGCAACAAUGCAGGAGUAAUGGCGACCCCUUUCUCCCUCUCAAAGGAUGGCAUCGAGAUGCAGUUUGCAACUAACCAUGUCAGUAUGAAUUGAUUACCAGCUCAACUCCCAUGUACUACUUGAUGAGCUGGUGAACCAGCUACAUACCCUGAUAUACAACGACUGAUCGUUUCCAAAUGAACUAAUAGCGUGCAAGAAUUUCCCUCACUCUCGGCAUUUAUGUUCCGAAUUGCCCUUCAGCACCACUGCUCACCCGAAGCAUUAUGGAAUGGCAAGUCACAAGCAUUGUCACCCCCUAUACAUGAUUCUGUUUGUAAUAUGAUUACAAUAGCAGAGUUGACAACAGAGCGUUUGUAAUGCGGCCUCUUUGAUGUUCUCUUUGUCAUAUGUAGUGCUACUGUUAUGUGUGUGAUGCUCCAGCUCCAUGCAAGCACUGGGGCAAAGGGCUCUGUCAAGCAGGUCUCCAUGAUAGUAUGCUGUGCUGGUGAUGUUUUUUCGUUGCUGGGAUCAUUUGAACCUGGAUGUCAUUUGUCAUGUGAUCUGAGCCAUAUGGCAUAUUGUAAACUUUUUAUUGCUGUUUUUAUGUAUGAUGUCAUGAAGAUGUACAUUUGAAAUGCUGCUUUGACAGCAAAAUUGUAUUCCUGUGUACAUCCUGCUUUGACAGCAAAAUUAUGAAAAUUUCUCAACAAUA